UUUAAUUCGAUGCAACGCGAAGAACCUUACCUACUCUUGACAUCCACGGAAUUUAGCAGAGAUGCUUUAGUGCCUUCGGGAACCGUGAGACAGGUGCUGCAUGGCUGUCGUCAGCUCGUGUUGUGAAAUGUUGGGUUAAGUCCCGCAACGAGCGCAACCCUUAUCCUUUGUUGCCAGCGGUUCGGCCGGGAACUCAAAGGAGACUGCCAGUGAUAAACUGGAGGAAGGUGGGGAUGACGUCAAGUCAUCAUGGCCCUUACGAGUAGGGCUACACACGUGCUACAAUGGCGUAUACAAAGAGAAGCGACCUCGCGAGAGCAAGCGGACCUCAUAAAGUACGUCGUAGUCCGGAUUGGAGUCUGCAACUCGACUCCAUGAAGUCGGAAUCGCUAGAUUAAUCGUAGAUCAGAAUGCUA
Molecule: ribosomal RNA, 416 nt
Filed under: uncultured bacterium
Lineage: Bacteria
Description: bacterial SSU rRNA
Rfam family: Bacterial small subunit ribosomal RNA
Source: RNAcentral